AUUGAACGCUGGCGGCAUGCCUUACACAUGCAAGUCGAACGGUAACGGGUCCUUCGGGAUGCCGACGAGUGGCGAACGGGUGAGUAAUAUAUCGGAACGUGCCCAGUAGUGGGGGAUAACUGCUCGAAAGAGCAGCUAAUACCGCAUACGACCUGAGGGUGAAAGGGGGGGAUCGCAAGACCUCUCGCUAUUGGAGCGGCCGAUAUCAGAUUAGCUAGUUGGUGGGGUAAAGGCCUACCAAGGCAACGAUCUGUAGUUGGUCUGAGAGGACGACCAGCCACACUGGGACUGAGACACGGCCCAGACUCCUACGGGAGGCAGCAGUGGGGAAUUUUGGACAAUGGGCGCAAGCCUGAUCCAGCAAUGCCGCGUGCAGGAAGAAGGCCUUCGGGUUGUAAACUGCUUUUGUCAGGGAAGAAAUCUUCUGGGCUAAUACCCCGGGAGGAUGACGGUACCUGAAGAAUAAGCACCGGCUAACUACGUGCCAGCAGCCGCGGUAAUACGUAGGGUGCGAGCGUUAAUCGGAAUUACUGGGCGUAAAGCGUGCGCAGGCGGCUUUGCAAGACAGAUGUGAAAUCCCCGGGCUCAACCUGGGAGCUGCAUUUGUGACUGCAAGGCUAGAGUACGGCAGAGGGGGAUGGAAUUCCGCGUGUAGCAGUGAAAUGCGUAGAUAUGCGGAGGAACACCAAUGGCGAAGGCAAUCCCCUGGGCCUGUACUGACGCUCAUGCACGAAAGCGUGGGGAGCAAACAGGAUUAGAUACCCUGGUAGUCCACGCCCUAAACGAUGUCAACUGGUUGUUGGACGGCUUGCUGUUCAGUAACGAAGCUAACGCGUGAAGUUGACCGCCUGGGGAGUACGGCCGCAAGGUCGAAACUCAAAGGAAUUGACGGGGACCCGCACAAGCGGUGGAUGAUGUGGUUUAAUUCGAUGCAACGCGAAAAACCUUACCUACCCUUGACAUGUCAAGAAUUCUGCAGAGAUGUGGAAGUGCUCGAAAGAGAACUUGAACACAGGUGCUGCAUGGCCGUCGUCAGCUCGUGUCGUGAGAUGUUGGGUUAAGUCCCGCAACGAGCGCAACCCUUGUCAUUAGUUGCUACGCAAGAGCACUCUAAUGAGACUGCCGGUGACAAACCGGAGGAAGGUGGGGAUGACGUCAGGUCCUCAUGGCCCUUAUGGGUAGGGCUACACACGUCAUACAAUGGCCGGUACAGAGGGCUGCCAACCCGCGAGGGGGAGCCAAUCCCAGAAAACCGGUCGUAGUCCGGAUCGUAGUCUGCAACUCGACUGCGUGAAGUCGGAAUCGCUAGUAAUCGCGGAUCAGCUUGCCGCGGUGAAUACGUUCCCGGGUCU
Molecule: ribosomal RNA, 1352 nt
Filed under: uncultured bacterium
Lineage: Bacteria
Description: bacterial SSU rRNA
Rfam family: Bacterial small subunit ribosomal RNA
Source: RNAcentral